This 398-nucleotide ribosomal RNA is filed under the name uncultured bacterium. Its description in RNAcentral is "bacterial SSU rRNA". It matches the Rfam family "Bacterial small subunit ribosomal RNA", at positions 358 to 770 of the family's 1533-position model. The record is from RNAcentral.
GGAAUUUUCCGCAAUGGGCGAAAGCCUGACGGAGCAAUCUCGCGUGAGGGAUGACUGCCUAUGGGUUGUAAACCUCUUUUUUCAGGGAGGAAUCGACGACGUGUACCUGAAGAAUACGCAACGGCCAACUCCGUUCCAGCAGCCGCGGUAAGACGGAGGAUGCAAGUGUUAUCCGGAAUCACUGGGCGUAAAGCGUCUGUAGGUGGUUUAAUAAGUCAACUGUUAAAUCUUGAAGCUCAACUUAAAAAUCGCAGUCGAAACUAUUAGACUAGAGUAUAGUAGGGGUAAAGGGAAUUUCCAGUGGAGCGGUGAAAUGCGUAGAGAUUGGAAAGAACACCGAUGGCGAAGGCACUUUACUGGGCUAUUACUGACACUCAGAGACGAAAGCUAGGGUAGCA